Molecule: long non-coding RNA, 551 nt
Filed under: Canis lupus familiaris (dog)
Lineage: Eukaryota; Metazoa; Chordata; Mammalia; Carnivora; Canidae
Description: lncRNA (ENSCAFG00030004078.1)
Source: RNAcentral
ACGCAGCGGCGCCCGCGUUCACCCCGAAGCUCAAAGGACCUGGGCGUCGGGCGAGCUGCCCGGGCCGGGGAGAGGCCGGGGCGAGUGGGGAGAGCCCUAGAGAAACAUGGAGAAGGCAGGGCGAGAGCGCAGCGCGGCGGGGAGCGCGCCCGGGGCGGUCUAGACACGGCAGCGAGCGCCGGAGUAGCUGCAAACGGGUGUGAGCUGGAGCUGCCCCCGGUUCUGCAGAAGAAGGCAGCGCGCCUUCCCCGCGCUAUUGCAAGAACCCUCACCCCGCACGAGGGCAGGUGCUGUUCGGGAGGCUUGGCCGUACUUCCCUGCAAAGUGGAAACAGUCCGUAAAUUAUUAGAAUCCGGGAGCAUCAGGAGUGUGUGUGUGUGUGUGUGUGUGUGUGUGUGUGUGUGUGUGUUGGGGGGGGGGGUCAUUUCCCACCGGUGCGCCCACGUGCAAGCACGUUUCUUAAGUAAAUGAACGGCAGUUAGAGCCCUGCGUACCUACGCGUUUUCUAUCUUUUUAUUUCUCCUUUUUUUUUUUUUAAAGUGGGAGCAUAC